CACGUAGGGUGCGAGCGUUGUCCGGAAUUAUUGGGCGUAAAGAGCUCGUAGGCGGUGUGUCGCGUCGGCCGUGAAAACCUGCAGCUUAACUGUGGGCGUGCGGUCGAUACGGGCAUCACUGGAGUUCGGCAGGGGAGACUGGAAUUCCUGGUGUAGCGGUGAAAUGCGCAGAUAUCAGGAGGAACACCGGUGGCGAAGGCGGAUCUCUGGGCCACUACUGACGCUGAGAAGCGAAAGCAUGGGGAGCGAACAGG
This 254-nucleotide ribosomal RNA is filed under the name uncultured bacterium. Its description in RNAcentral is "partial 16S ribosomal RNA". It matches the Rfam family "Bacterial small subunit ribosomal RNA", at positions 524 to 776 of the family's 1533-position model. The record is from RNAcentral.